This 458-nucleotide ribosomal RNA is filed under the name uncultured bacterium. RNAcentral describes it as "bacterial SSU rRNA". It matches the Rfam family "Bacterial small subunit ribosomal RNA", at positions 29 to 524 of the family's 1533-position model. The record is from RNAcentral.
AACGAACGCUGGCGGCAUGCCUAACACAUGCAAGUCGAACGGGAUCCUAGCUUGCUAGGUGAGAGUGGCGGACGGGUGAGUAACACGUGGGAAUCUGCCUUUUGGUUCGGGAUAACCGCGGGAAACUGCGGCUAAUACCGAAUGCCCUCGAGAGAGGAAAGAUUUAUCGCCAGAAGAGGAGCCCGCGUCCGAUUAGGUAGUUGGUGGGGUAAAGGCCUACCAAGCCGACGAUCGGUAGCUGGUCUGAGAGGAUGAUCAGCCACACUGGGACUGAGAUACGGCCCAGACUCCUACGGGAGGCAGCAGUGGGGAAUAUUGGACAAUGGGGGCAACCCUGAUCCAGCAAUGCCGCGUGAGUGAUGAAGGCCUUAGGGUUGUAAAGCUCUUUUGCCAGGGAAGAUGAGGACUGUACCUGGAGAAUAAGCCCCGGCUAACUUCGUGCCAGCAGCCGCGGUAAU